UGUGUUAAAAUUAACAUGUACGAUAAGUACUAUAGUGAUAAACGGUUUACGAAAUAGACUUUAUGGACCAGGGGGCAGUACCCUGCGUCUCCACCAAUUAUGUUAUGGGGACGAAAUAGGUUCGACAUAAAGUAUUAAAGGUGAAUUCGUCACUCGGCAUUGUACCACCGUUAUCGGACUGAAAAUUUAUAAUUGCCAACCUUAAUCGGAUAAGCAAUAGAUGUCGUCGUCGUAGCCGUUCGGCAGGCAAUCUUAACAGAAAGCGUGCCUUCGGACUUGACCUUGCUGCGUAAUUAAAACUCUUUCCUUUUUUAAGGGGAGUUAAAAUUACCAGUGCCGUUAUGCUAACAUAGCGGUAACGUCAUGCGGUCUGGGAACGCCGAGCAACAGAAGUUCC
RNAcentral lists this transfer-messenger RNA (397 nucleotides) under bovine gut metagenome. Its description in RNAcentral is "Alphaproteobacteria transfer-messenger RNA". The stretch from base 18 to 200 matches the Rfam family "Alphaproteobacteria transfer-messenger RNA", at positions 40 to 237 of the family's 355-position model. RNAcentral also lists the same sequence under 1 other name. The record is from RNAcentral.